This is a long non-coding RNA of Dreissena polymorpha, 179 nucleotides long. RefSeq lists it as uncharacterized. Lineage: Eukaryota; Metazoa; Mollusca; Bivalvia; Myida; Dreissenidae. The transcript has 3 exons. The record is from RefSeq and is a predicted model, not a curated record.
GUAACUCUGUCAAGUUCACCAUAUCAGACCAGGUAACUCCGUCAAGUUCACCAAAUCAGACCAGGUAACUCCGUCAAGUUCACCAUAUCAGACCAGGUAACUCCGUCAAAUUCACCAUAUCAGACGAGGUAACUCUGUCAAGUUCACAUUGUCAGACCAGGUAACUCCGUCAAGUUCAC